Molecule: long non-coding RNA, 619 nt
Filed under: Equus caballus (horse)
Lineage: Eukaryota; Metazoa; Chordata; Mammalia; Perissodactyla; Equidae
Description: lncRNA (ENSECAG00000044234.1)
Source: RNAcentral
CAUACCUAGAAUUGCUUCAGUCGGAGAAGUGACAGGCUCGAGAUGAAGAAAUAGGCUGGAGGAACCCCCUGAGAGGCAACGGUGCUAGCAUCUCGCGUGACUCCAAGACUCAUUGGUACUUGGGCUCCCUCAGCACCUCCCCAACAUGGCCCCUCCUGGCUUCUACACCAUCUUUCAUCCAACUAGAAAACCCGGCCUACUACCUGCACACCCCCUGGGAAGACCCCUAACAGCCUAUGCUAGUUUGCUGUGGCCUCCAGGUACUAGGAUGCAGCUAGCAAUCAGCCAAGCCGGUCAGGUGUCUUUGGUUUGGAUGUGGCUGCAAAGCCAAGAGGAUAGGAUACAGGAACUCACAGACCUGGUGGAACAGCCAAAGAACAAGCUUCAGAAAGGGCGGUUUCCAGGCAGCUUUAGGGGUCCAGGGAGGAAUUGCCCCCCACCCUCCAUCACCCUGAUCAAGGCCACGGGUCAGAGAGUUCCACUGGCCCAGCUGUGUCUGGUCCCCACCAUUGGCCAGGAGAUGGAGCUCCUCAGUGGACAGGCCCCUAAUCCUGCACAAAAUGGUCAGUGGUCAAGGGCAGGCCUCCAGAGUCAGAGAGCUGUGACCAGAAGAAGGGGA